Molecule: ribosomal RNA, 253 nt
Filed under: uncultured bacterium
Lineage: Bacteria
Description: partial 16S ribosomal RNA
Rfam family: Bacterial small subunit ribosomal RNA
Source: RNAcentral
GACAGAGGUCCCGAGCGUUAGGCGGAAUCACUGGGCUUAAAGCGUGUGUAGGCGGCGGCCUAAGUACCUUGUGAAAUCCCACGGCUCACCCGUGGAACUGCUCGGUAUACUGGGUCGCUUGAGCCACUUAGGGGCUACCGGAACAAAUGGUGGAGCGGUGAAAUGCGUAGAUAUCAUUUGGAACGCCAAUGGUGAAAACAGGUAGCUGGGAGUGUGCUGACGCUGAGGAGCGAAAGCAUGGGGAGCGAACAGG